RNAcentral lists this ribosomal RNA (107 nucleotides) under uncultured beta proteobacterium. RNAcentral describes it as "partial 16S ribosomal RNA". Lineage: Bacteria; Pseudomonadati; Pseudomonadota; Betaproteobacteria. The record is from RNAcentral.
GUACCGUCAUUAACACCGAUUAUUCGUCGGUAUCGUUUCUUCCCUUGCGAAAGAGCUUUACAACCCGAAGGCCUUCUUCACUCACGCGGAAUGGCUGGAUCAGGCUU